Molecule: unclassified non-coding RNA, 1380 nt
Filed under: Haliotis rufescens (red abalone)
Lineage: Eukaryota; Metazoa; Mollusca; Gastropoda; Lepetellida; Haliotidae
Description: diaminopimelate decarboxylase 1, chloroplastic-like, transcript variant X2
Source: RNAcentral
UGUAUGCCCAUUCGCCCACGAAUGAGGAUCGUGAUCGUGGUUUAUUUCCGUAUCUUGUCGUUGACAUCUAAUGUCGCAUUGUUGACUGACCUACUUGAUAUCAGAUAUCACAUGAUAAGAAUAUCGCAACCGCGCCCUUGCCUUACCCUGUCGAAAUAUGGAGAAACGGGGAUUUACCUUUAGGAAUGGGUUUCUAUAUUGUGAGGAUGUUAGAGUGAAAGACAUACAGACCGAUUUAUCAACAAACGGUAUCGUUCCAUCUUCGCCAUGCUUCGUCUACAGCAAAGAAAAGAUCGUGUCAAAUAUCAGCGCGUACCAGACUGCGUUGAAAAUGCUGAACAUUUCAACCUUGCUCAACUUUUCUAUGAAAGCCAAUCAUACACCGGCUAUACUUCAGAUUGUUCGAUCCAUGGGAUGCUCAGUCACACUAGUUAGUGGAAUGGAAUUGAAAAUGGCUCUCAAGCUUGGUUUUGAUCCACGACUGACUGUUUUCAACGGCAAUGGGAAACAGGACUGGGAAAGACUCCUGGCAAUAGAAGAAGGCUGCCUCAUCAACGUUGACAGUCCGUUUGAUUUGAUGCAGACGAUGCGUAUGUGUCAAAAACUGAGAAAAAACUCGAAUGUGCUGCUUCGCAUUAACCCGGAUAUUGAUCCCCAAGUGCACCCAUUCAUCAGUACUGGUCUAGCAAACUCCAAGUUUGGAAUAAACACUGAAGAUCUUGAAGAAUGUGUCACUCUCCUCGAAAAGUGCAGUCAGAUCACACUGGUUGGUCUUCACUGUCAUCUGGGAUCAACCAUACACAAUGUUUCAGUUUUCAGAUUGUGUACAAUGAAACUGCUUUCACUGAAAAGUGAACUGAAGACCAGAGGAUUCAAUAAUAUCAAAUAUAUCAACAUUGGUGGUGGUCUGGGCAUCAACUAUAAACAGCUGGCUGAAAGAACAAGUCCUGCCAGAUCCAGCUGCACCAUGUCAUUAGAAGAUGGUUAUACACAGACAACUGUCCAGGGGAACAACGCCAGACAACUCAAUGUGACAGAAAGGGUGUCCCAAAAUGACCUGGAUUACAACUCUGGCUGUUCAGAGCUGAUGCAUGAUGAUCUGAAGGAGAGACCAAGGAGGGAAAGCGUAGGCAAACAUCCCCUGCCAACUCAUGGAUAGGGCGUCGACCCGAAGGGCUAAUGGAUCUGGGACUGGGCUGACGUAAACAGGAAGUCGAUGGUUUAGGCAUGUGGCAAACAAAUCCAGGUUCCAACUCCUGGAGGUCUGGUGGAAUGUAUUCAGUCAGCAUUAGUGGACUCUGAAGUAACACUGAUCUUGGAACCAGGACGCUCUCUUGUUGGCAACACAGCAAUCUUAGCAACCACCGUUCUUGGAACCAA